GUCCUUAGUUACCAGCACGGUUAUGGUGGGCACUCUAAGGGGACUGCCGGUGACAACCGGAGGAAGGUGGGGAUGACGUCAAGUCAUCAUGGCCCUUACGGCCUGGGCUACACACGUGCUACAAUGGUCGGUACAAAGGGUUGCCAAGCCGCGAGGUGGAGCUAAUCCCAUAAAACCGAUCGUAGUCCGGAUCGCAGUCUGCAACUCGACUGCGUGAAGUCGGAAUCGCUAGUAAUCGUGAAUCAGAAUGUCACGGUGAAUACGUUCCCGGGCCUU
This 276-nucleotide ribosomal RNA is filed under the name uncultured Pseudomonas sp. RNAcentral's name for it is "partial 16S ribosomal RNA". It matches the Rfam family "Bacterial small subunit ribosomal RNA", at positions 1107 to 1382 of the family's 1533-position model. The record is from RNAcentral. Lineage: Bacteria; Pseudomonadati; Pseudomonadota; Gammaproteobacteria; Pseudomonadales; Pseudomonadaceae.